Long non-coding RNA from Suricata suricatta (meerkat), 588 nucleotides. RefSeq lists it as uncharacterized. NCBI's taxonomy places the organism in Eukaryota, Metazoa, Chordata, Mammalia, Carnivora, Herpestidae. The transcript is spliced from 2 exons. The record is from RefSeq and is a predicted model, not a curated record.
GUUUUUUUUUUUUUAACAUUGGCAGUGGUUUCCAAAUAUUUGUAAAUGUUGUGUAAACACAACAUACCAGGGACUCCAGAGGCUACUAGAUUGAUGUGUCUACCGUAGAUGGUAGGAGGAAGCCAGGCCAGCCACAGAACCUGGAGAGAGGAGGAAAGCAGUGUAUAAAGUCAUUCCCUCCCUCAGACAGAGGAAAUGAUUCCACCCCAUCUGUAGCCAGGGCAAAGCCAGCUGGAGGAGAUCUCUGAAAUCCACCCAGCUGUCAUGGCCAACAUGUCUGGAUCAGUAGGAGAGAAUAGGCCUCUUUAUUCAAACAAAAUGCCCAAGACUUAACUCAGAAGACUCUAGAUUCUACAUUCUUAAUGGAAUAAGGAGGCCACCAAGGGUCCAGACUCUGACUUCCCAGCGUCCACAGCCUUUGGGAGAGCUGAUCACCUAGUCACUGCUGCCCUGAGACGCAAUACCCCUCUUCAAGUACAGGGCCUCUUCCCUGAGGUCUUGUAGGCUCCAUUGGACACAGUGCUUCAAACAAGAAGGAAAGCACAGAAAACUCCAUGUAUGCAAAAAUAAAGAUUUCCAAUUCUCAUA